GGAUUUGAGGGUGAUCUGGCUGUGACAUCUGUCACCCCAUUGAUCGCCAGGGUUGAUUCGGCUGAUCUGGCUGGCUAGGCGGGUGUCCCCUUCCUCCCUCACUGCUCCAUGUGCGUCCCUCCCGAAGCCACGUGCUUGGUCAAAGAGGACAACCAUCCCCGCUAGAGGAGGACCGGUCCUCGGUCAAGGGUAUACGAGUAGCUGCACUCCCAUGCUAGAACCUCCAAACAAGCUCUCAAGGCCCAUUAAAUAUUUUUUAAAAGAAGAAGUCUUGUAAGCUGGGUCUAAAUCAGAACUCUGGUAAGGGAUGCAGGCAUUC
This 319-nucleotide small nuclear RNA is filed under the name Ochotona princeps (American pika). RNAcentral's name for it is "7SK RNA (ENSOPRG00000020608.1)". It matches the Rfam family "7SK RNA". Rfam says of the family: 7SK was discovered as an abundant small nuclear RNA in the mid-70s but a possible function has only recently been suggested. Two independent studies have found that 7SK RNA binds the CDK9/cyclin T complex (known as elongation factor P-TEFb). Lineage: Eukaryota; Metazoa; Chordata; Mammalia; Lagomorpha; Ochotonidae. The record is from RNAcentral.